GGGACCGGGGCCACCACUGCGGACUCUGCUCGUGUGUGCCCGCCAUAUGACCAAACUCUGAAUGUUAGUGAUGUCUGAGUACUAUCUAAUAGUUAAAACUUUCAACAACGGAUCUCUUGGUUCUGGCAUCGAUGAAGAACGCAGCGAAAUGCGAUAAGUAAUGUGAAUUGCAGAAUUCAGUGAAUCAUCGAAUCUUUGAACGCACAUUGCGCCCUGUGGUAUUCCGCAGGGCAUGCCUGUUCGAGCGUCAUUUAACCACUCACGCCUAGCGUGGUAUUGGGGCACGCGGUCUCCGCGGCCCUCAAAAUUAGUGGCGGUGCCGGUGGGCUCUGAGCGUAGUACAUACUCCCGCUAUAGAGUCCCCCCCGGUGGCUUGCCAGAACCCCCAAUUUUUACAGGUUGACCUCGGAUCAGGUAGGGAUACCCGCUGAACUUAAGCAUAUCAAUAAGCGG
This 453-nucleotide ribosomal RNA is filed under the name Phialocephala fortinii. RNAcentral describes it as "eukaryotic LSU rRNA". The stretch from base 97 to 250 matches the Rfam family "5.8S ribosomal RNA". Lineage: Eukaryota; Fungi; Ascomycota; Leotiomycetes; Helotiales; Mollisiaceae. The record is from RNAcentral.